GACGAACGCUGGCGGCGUGCCUAAUACAUGCAAGUCGAACGCUGAAGGAGGAGCUUGCUUCUCUGGAUGAGUUGCGAACGGGUGAGUAACGCGUAGGUAACCUGCCUGUUAGCGGGGGAUAACUAUUGGAAACGAUAGCUAAUACCGCAUAAGAGUAGAUGUUGCAUGACAUUUGCUUAAAAGGUGCAAUUGCAUCACUACCAGUUGGACCUGCUUUGUAUUAGCUAGUUGGUGAGGUAACGGCUCACCAAGGCGACGUUGCUUAUCCGACCUGCGAGGGUGAGCAGCCACACUGGGACUGAGACACGGCCCAGACUCCUACGGGAAGCAGCAGUAGGGAAUCUUCGGCAAUGGACGGAAGUCUGACCGAGCAACGCCGCGGGAGGGAAGAAGGGUGUCGGGUCGGAAAGCUCGGUUGUAAGAGAAGAACGAGUGUGAGAGUGGAAAGUUCACACUGUGACGGUAUCUUACCAGAAAGGGACGGCUAACUACGUG
Molecule: ribosomal RNA, 495 nt
Filed under: uncultured bacterium
Lineage: Bacteria
Description: partial 16S ribosomal RNA
Rfam family: Bacterial small subunit ribosomal RNA
Source: RNAcentral